GACGAACGCUGGCGGCGUGCCUAAUACAUGCAAGUCGAACGCAGUGGGGACGGGUGAGUAACACGUGGGUAACCUCCCAUCAGAGGGGAUAACACUUGGAAACAGGUGCUAAACCGAUACUGAUGGAUGAACCCGCGGUGCAUUAGCCAGUUGGUGGGGUAACGGCUCACCAAGGCCACGAUGCAUAGCCGACCUGAGAGGGUGGGAGGCCACACUGGAACUGAGACGCGGCCCAGACUCCUACGGGAGGCAGCAGUAGGGAAUCUUCGGCAAGUGACGAAAGUCUGACCGAGCAACGCCGCGUGGGUUAAGAAGGUUUUCGGAUCGUAAACCUCUGUUGUUAGAGAAGCGGUAUCUAACCAGAAAGCCACGGCUAACUCCGUGCCAGCAGCCGCGGUAAUUC
This 403-nucleotide ribosomal RNA is filed under the name uncultured bacterium. RNAcentral describes it as "partial 16S ribosomal RNA". It matches the Rfam family "Bacterial small subunit ribosomal RNA", at positions 28 to 526 of the family's 1533-position model. The record is from RNAcentral.